GCCUUCUUAGAGGAGCAAUUUCACCCCCUUUGAAAUAAUAAUAAUAAUAAUAAUAAUGAAAUUUGCUGGGUUUUUUUUCCAGUGAAGCCAGAUGAAGCCUUUUGCUGACUGUUGGCUGGGUAAGAAGAAUCACCUUGGGCAGGGUGCAACACCUCAAUUUGAAGCUGGACUCCUAUGGAGCCUCUUUUCUAAACUUGAGGCUGCAGAGGAUUACCUGUUCUUGGGAAACCAGCAGCAAGGAUGGAGAAUAAGGGGAGCCUUAAUUCUUUCUACUGAGAGCUGCACACUCCAGUACUAGAGGACUUUGACAGAAAUGGAGGAAUACCAAGAUACAGCUGAAGCCUUCACUGCCUUGGAACCAGAUCUUCCAUUUAGUAAUAGUAACCACAUCUGAGACGCCACGUGUCUACCUGUUUGAGGAAACACCCUGUGCAUGUUUGGGAGGUAAGGUCACACUGAAUUGGGAAAGGAGUUCAUGCUGAAUUGAGCUC
This 491-nucleotide long non-coding RNA is filed under the name Dasypus novemcinctus (nine-banded armadillo). RNAcentral describes it as "lncRNA (ENSDNOG00000051675.1)". The record is from RNAcentral. Lineage: Eukaryota; Metazoa; Chordata; Mammalia; Cingulata; Dasypodidae.